Molecule: long non-coding RNA, 912 nt
Filed under: Sus scrofa (pig)
Lineage: Eukaryota; Metazoa; Chordata; Mammalia; Artiodactyla; Suidae
Description: lncRNA (ENSSSCG00030014353.1)
Source: RNAcentral
UUUUAUUUUGAAAUGAGUUGUCAUUGGGUUUAAAAGGGGGCAGGACAUGCUAUGAUAAGAGUUUUUAAAGGUUUGCCCUGGGAGUUCUUGCUGUGGCCCAGUGGGUUAAGGACCUGGCAUUGUUACUGUUGUGGCUUGGGUAGCUGCUGUGAAGCAGGUUUGAUCCCUGGCCUGGGAACUUAUGCAUGCCACGGGUGAAGCCAGAAAAAAAAAAUUAGAAAGAAAAAAGAAAAAAGUUUACCCUGGCUGCUGCCUGCUAUGUAUGCUGUGUAGUGGGGGAGAGGGAAGGGAAUAGUGGGUGAGGGCUCUAUCUGCAAACUAUUGCCAUAGUCUAGAUAAGAGUUGCUGAUAGUUUGGACCAGGGCAAUGGCUGUGGGGAUGGUGAGAGAUGGUAAGAUUUGGGAUGUAUUUUAGGAGCAGAGUUGACAGAAAUUACUCAUGAGUGGAAGGUGAGGUGAAGAGAAAGUAGGGAGGCAGGAUACCUCUCAGGUGUUACGCCCUCUCAUAACCUCUUCACUCACCUUUUUGUUCCAUCAGUUGCUGUGACAACAAGCUGGCGCGGGUGUAGUUUGCUGCACUUUGCAGCUCUUGUCUUCUGCUCCAGGGCACUCAGCUGCCUGGGGGAACCUGGAAAUCCAGUAAGUUCACACCUCAGGAGCAACAUCGGACAGAUGGUGGUUUGGAGCAGAAAAGGAGCAGGAGCUGAAAAAGCGAGGCCAGUCUUACAACUCACUGGACUUCUGGCAAGAAUCCCUCCCCAGAACCAACCCUAAUUGCUGACCUGAGUUAUACACAUUCAAGAGAGAAGUAGAAGGUUUUCAUUACAAGUCAUCUAACUCUGCAGGAGUUUGGCUUUGAAAACCCCCUGAAAAGGACUCAUGUGAAUAAAGCGGGGCCAUUCUCAUUGAAGCA